Molecule: ribosomal RNA, 465 nt
Filed under: uncultured bacterium
Lineage: Bacteria
Description: partial 16S ribosomal RNA
Rfam family: Bacterial small subunit ribosomal RNA
Source: RNAcentral
ACGAACGCUGGCGGCGUGCUUAACACAUGCACGUCGAACGGAAAGGCCCUGCUUGCAGGGUACUCGAGUGGCGAACGGGUGAGUAACACGUGGGUGAUCUGCCCUGCACUUCGGGAUAAGCUUGGGAAACUGGGUCUAAUACCGGAUAGGAGCCAUCUUUAGUGUGGUGGUUGGAAAGUUUUUUCGGUGUAGGAUGAGCUCGCGGCCUAUCAGCUUGUUGGUGGGGUAAUGGCCUACCAAGGCGGCGACGGGUAGCCGGCCUGAGAGGGUGUACGGCCACAUUGGGACUGAGCUACGGCCCAGACUCCUACGGGGGGCAGCAGUGGGGAAUAUUGCACAAUGGGCGCAAGCCUGAUGCAGCGACGCCGCGUGGGGGAUGAAGGCCUUCGGGUUGUAAACUCCUUUCGCUAGGGACGAAGCUUUUUUGUGACGGUACCUAGAUAAGAAGCACCGGCUAACUACGUG